This is a long non-coding RNA of Haemorhous mexicanus (house finch), 2985 nucleotides long. RefSeq lists it as uncharacterized. The transcript is spliced from 2 exons. The record is from RefSeq and is a predicted model, not a curated record. Lineage: Eukaryota; Metazoa; Chordata; Aves; Passeriformes; Fringillidae.
AGUGUCCCUUCACUGAAGUACCUCCUUGUGUGUGUCCUUGUCUCUCUUGCACAGGGGAACCCAGACCUGGACCCAGAACUACAGAUGUAUCCCAGCAGUGCUGACCAGAAGGGAAGGAUGCCCUCACUCAGCUGGCUGGUCUCCUGAGUCAGACAAGAUGCACGUGAACAGUGGCAGCUGCUUGGGAAUGCCUUUGUUAUUCAUCAGAGACUGAUUGAACUUAUGCCAGUGCCUUUGAUGGGGCCUCAUUCAGAAGCCAUCAGGACCAAUGGAAAAGCUCCAGUUAACAAGGCCUUGAUGCCAGUCCAAAUCUGAUACCAAAGGUCCCUCAAGAAGGAUCUGCUUAUGGUAACACGGAGUCUGGUACUUGAUAGUUCUUGUGCAGGAGCACAUUUUUCAUGGGGAAGAAAAUGUAUUUGCUUCCACUCCACUACAGAGAAUCUUGCAUGUGUCCUUGGGUUUUUGGCAGAUGUUGAAAGCUGAUCAGAAGCAGAUGAUGUGAGAGCAACAAUAUGUCCCUGAGCAACAGCAAAGCAGCAGGUGCAGGAGGAGCAUAUGCCAGAUUCCCAUCAGCAGAAGGAGCUGCGUGGAGGGCUCUCUGGGACUGCAUGUAAGGUGCAUGCUCCACUUUUCCUCUGGCACUGGGGAAUAUUAAUGUCUUCAUCAGGCCAAGCAAAUGAUUUGCAAAUUUAGCUUUCAGUUAUGUAAUAAUUCAUAUCAUAAAUACCUAGGUACUAUGGGGCAAGAAAAUUUCUCAUGCAAAACAACCCUGGUCUUUAAAAACCAUCAUAUUUUACUUUUAAAAUAGAAUGUCCAUAAAAAAUUAUGAAGGCAAUUAGAAACCUUAGCUGCCCGAAAAUCUUUCGUACUCAUCCAAGAACAUGAAAAGUUUCCACUUAAUUAUUUUUUUAAUAAAAAAAAUUUAGUUUCAAAAAAUACUGUAUAAAUUUAAUUUGAAAUGCUUUGAUGAUACCAGUUCUGAGACACUCUUAAAAAAAAAAAUUAAGAAAAGCAAUGCUUCAGUGAGUGGAAGCUUUUUUCUGCUGUUCAGCCCUGGCACUCUGCUUUGCUUUGAACGGACUAAACAAAAGUAUGUCUGUUAUGAUCAAAAUUGAGUAAUUCUGGAUAGAAGCUAUCCAUUUUUCUCCAGUAUCAUAUUAUGGUCUUCUCAGUGGAACUGGACAAAAAGUCUGGUUUAUGAAAUACAUGUGCAUACCUAUGCAUCUUGCCUCGAGACAAAGCCAAGAUUUUUCUAAAAGAAAAAACUUCACACCCUCAACAUAAGAGCCAUCAAAAAGCAGCAAGUACACAAGAGUAUAAUCUUUCUUGUGCUGUGCCAAGUCUGUUUCUAAACUCUUGCUGUGCCAUACUUUUCAUGCUAGUGACCUGAAACUCAUCUUCAGAAAGAAAGGCGCUUUCUCUUUCUUCCAACCUUUAGUGGAAAUUUUCUUAUUAAAACCUACAGAAAGAUUUGGGUUUGGUAUUUUUUCUCUUAAGGAAACUUUUUUCAGAGAUCUCCAAUUCUCCUAUUGAGCCAUAUAACGGCAUUUAAUGAACCAGUUGAAAAUCUAAAUAACUAGUUUAAAAAAAUAAAAAUCCUAUUUUCUGCUUUUUCAAGUAGGAUUGAAAGGCCACAGGACAAUACAAACAAAGCACCUUCACUGGACUAAGUCUUCUACCAUUUAGUUACCUCUAAAGUACUCACAACACGACAAGGAUUUUGUGAAUUAUGUGUUUUGGAACAACUUGCAUUGCCACAAAUGUAAUCUAAUGCAAAAGAUGUGGAGCAAGUCUUAACAAGACAAGAAAUUCACUUUGAGGUGACCAGCAAAAAAAUUUGUUUCUAAGUAUUUCACAGCACUACACUGACAGAUUUCCCAGUUAUAGUUGAUACCAGGAAACACUCUAUGGCUAACCUUGAAUUUUAAUCAGAAAUGCUUGAAUAAAUUGGAAUGGGAAUUUGAGGACUGACAUCCUUAGAUAUCCCAAAUUGUUUGAUAAAUACCAUGUGAAUAUAGCAAAUGUUUGAAAUGGAGAUUUGAAUUAACCCUCUGAACUCAUAAACCACCUGUAUGACUUCUCCCAUACCAUGCCUGCCUAUGCCCUGUGCUCCUAAAUAACACAGAGACUAUAAAACUCAUCCUCUAAUCCCCACACACUUAUCACAAAACUGAACCUUCUAUGACUGGAAGUGCCACACUCACAUACAUUUAGGUCUUGGUAGAAAGAACUGAAAGAACUUUGCAGCUAUCUCUGAGGGAAUUGCCUUUCCAGCAGAAAAUUAACAGAUCAGUCAUUCCAGACCAACUACAGGGAUUUCUUGGAGAAAAGGAGAAUUAGAAGACUUAUAAGGAGAUGAAGUAUCUCAGUAUUUGUUAGGAAAUCCUAGAAUACCUAUCUAGAAAUGUGUUCCUUACACACUCAUACAAAACAGGCAGGGAAGAAAUUACAAUCAACAAGGCAGCCCUCCACCCAACAGAUAAAGGGGAAAAAAUUAGUUUGGAUAUCCAAAUUUCUUCAAGGAGUUUUUGAAACUUUCCUGUUUUAGAUUGGCAAAACGUCUGUGCUAGAACUUCAGCAGGAAGGGUGGUAUAGGACACCAAGAAAAUCAAGAUGAAAAAUCUAGUGGAUGAUAAAAUUUUGUAGUUUUGAAAGAACAGAUAUUAAACUCAUGUCCUAAAAAACAUGUUCUUCAUCUUUUUCCCCACUUGAAUCCAGAAGGUACACAGGCUGACAUAAUUUUGUAAUAGUGUCUUUAAUUCAGAAAUUACUAACAGUUGUAAUGAAAAAAUGUUGCAGUUUUGAAAGAACAUAUUAUAAACCAUAUCCUAAAAAGCAUGUUCUUCAUCUUUUCCCCCACUUGCAUCAGGUUGACAUAAUUUUGUAAUAGUAUCUUUAAUUCAGAAAUUGCUGACAAUCAUAAAACUUAAUUUUAUGUGUAAGUUCACUGAGUUCUCCUAAAUAAAUUAUGCUUUUUCAACAUAA